GGCGUCUUGGCGGAGUGGUUAACGCGACAGACUUGAAAUCUGUUUCCUUCGGGAGCGUAGGUUCGAGUCCUGCAGACGUCG
Molecule: transfer RNA, 81 nt
Organism: Phialocephala subalpina
Lineage: Eukaryota; Fungi; Ascomycota; Leotiomycetes; Helotiales; Mollisiaceae
Rfam family: tRNA
About the family: Transfer RNA (tRNA) molecules are approximately 80 nucleotides in length. Their secondary structure includes four short double-helical elements and three loops (D, anti-codon, and T loops).
Source: Rfam